UAAGGAAUAUUGGUCAAUGGACGCAAGUCUGAACCAGUCAUGCCGCGUGAAGGAUGAAGGUCCUCUGGAUUGUAAACUUCUUUUAUCUGGGACGAAAACGGGAUUUUUAUCUCAAUUGACGGUACCAGAGGAAUAAGCACCGGCUAACUCCGUGCCAGCAGCCGCGGUAAUACGGAGGGUGCGAGCGUUAUCCGGAUUUACUGGGUUUAAAGGGUGCGUAGGUGGGCUUAUAAGUCAGUGGUGAAAUCUCCGAGCUUAACUUGGAAACGGCCGUUGAUACUAUAGGUCUUGAAUUAUCUGGAGGUAAGCGGAAUAUGUCAUGUAGCGGUGAAAUGCUUAGAUAUGACAUAGAACACCAAUUGCGAAGGCAGCUUACUACAUAUAAAUUGACGCUGAGGCACGAAAGCGUGGGGAUCAAACA
Molecule: ribosomal RNA, 421 nt
Filed under: uncultured bacterium
Lineage: Bacteria
Description: bacterial SSU rRNA
Rfam family: Bacterial small subunit ribosomal RNA
Source: RNAcentral